CUUCAGGGUAGUUAUACUCUGGAAUAGGCUUCCAAGGGAGGCUGUGGAAUCCCCAUCAUUGGAAGCUAUUAAAAACAAGUUGGACAUAAUCUGCCAGGGAGGGUGUAGAUUUAUUUGGUCCUGCAACAGUACAGGGGGCUGGACUUGAUGA
Long non-coding RNA from Dermochelys coriacea (leatherback sea turtle), 151 nucleotides. RefSeq lists it as uncharacterized. The record is from RefSeq and is a predicted model, not a curated record. The transcript is spliced from 3 exons. NCBI's taxonomy places the organism in Eukaryota, Metazoa, Chordata, Testudines, Dermochelyidae.